RNAcentral lists this ribosomal RNA (468 nucleotides) under uncultured bacterium. RNAcentral describes it as "partial 16S ribosomal RNA". It matches the Rfam family "Bacterial small subunit ribosomal RNA", at positions 28 to 507 of the family's 1533-position model. The record is from RNAcentral.
GACGAACGCUGGCGGCGUGCUUAACACAUGCAAGUCGAACGGAAAGGCCCUGCUUUUGUGGGGUGCUCGAGUGGCGAACGGGUGAGUAACACGUGAGUAACCUGCCCUUGACUUUGGGAUAACUUCAGGAAACUGGGGCUAAUACCGGAUAGGAGCUCCUGCUGCAUGGUGGGGGUUGGAAAGUUUCGGCGGUUGGGGAUGGACUCGCGGCUUAUCAGCUUGUUGGUGGGGUAGUGGCUUACCAAGGCGUUGACGGGUAGCCGGCCUGAGAGGGUGACCGGCCACAUUGGGACUGAGAUACGGCCCAGACUCCUACGGGAGGCAGCAGUGGGGAAUAUUGCACAAUGGGCGGAAGCCUGAUGCAGCAACGCCGCGUGCGGGAGGACGGCCUUCGGGUUGUAAACCGCUUUCGCCUGUGACGAAGCGUGAGUGACGGUAAUGGGUAAAGAAGCACCGGCUAACUACGUG